UUCGUAGGGUGCGAGCGUUAAUCGGAAUUACUGGGCGUAAAGCGUGCGCAGGCGGUUCGUUAAGACAGAUGUGAAAUCCCCGGGCUUAACCUGGGAACUGCAUUUGUGACUGCAUCGCUGGAGUGCGGCAGAGGGGGAUGGAAUUCCGCGUGUAGCAGUGAAAUGCGUAGAUAUGCGGAGGAACACCGAUGGCGAAGGCAAUCCCCUGGGCCUGCACUGACGCUCAUGCACGAAAGCGUGGGGAGCAAACAGG
RNAcentral lists this ribosomal RNA (253 nucleotides) under uncultured bacterium. RNAcentral describes it as "partial 16S ribosomal RNA". It matches the Rfam family "Bacterial small subunit ribosomal RNA", at positions 524 to 776 of the family's 1533-position model. The record is from RNAcentral.